AGCGUUAUCCGGAUUUAUUGGGUUUAAAGGGUGCGUAGGCGGUUUGAUAAGUCAGCGGUGAAAUAUUUCAGCUUAACUGGAAGGGUGCCGUUGAUACUGUCGAGCUUGAAUUUAGUUGCUGUGGGUGGAAUGUGUGGUGUAGCGGUGAAAUGCAUAGAUAUCACACAGAAUAUCGAUUGCGAAGGCAGCUCACAAAGCUAAUAUUGACGCUGAUGCACGAAAGUGUGGGGAUCAAACAGGAUUAGAUACCCUGGUAGUCCACACUGUAAACGAUGAUAACUCGCUGUCGGCGAUACACAGUCGGUGGCCAAGCGAAAGCGAUAAGUUAUCCACCUGGGGAGUACGACCGCAAGGUUGAAACUCAAAGGAAUUGACGGGGGCCCGCACAAGCGGAGGAACAUGUGGUUUAAUUCGAUGAUACGCGAGGAACCUUACCCGGGCUCGAACGGUGCAUGAAUGAUUCAGAGAUGGAUUAGUCCUUCGGGACAUGUAUCGAGGUGCUGCAUGGUUGUCGUCAGCUCGUGCCGUGAGGUGUCGGCUUAAGUGCCAUAACGAGCGCAACCCUUGUCGUUAGUUGCCAUCAGGUAAUGCUGGGAACUCUAGCGAGACUGCCACCGUGAGGUGCGAGGAAGGGGGGGAUGACGUCAAAUCAGCACGGCCCUUACGUCCGGGGCGACACACGUGUUACAAUGGCAGGUACAGAGGGCAGCUACCCAGCGAUGGGGUGCGAAUCUCGAAAGCCUGUCUCAGUUCGGAUCGGAGUCUGCAACUCGACUCCGUGAAGUUGGAUUCGCUAGUAAUCGCGCAUCAGCCAUGGCGCGGUGAAUACGUUCCCGGGCCUUGUACACACCGCCCGUCAAGCCAUGGAAGCUGGGGGUGCCUGAAGUUCAUACCGCAAGAGCAC
Molecule: ribosomal RNA, 904 nt
Filed under: uncultured bacterium
Lineage: Bacteria
Description: bacterial SSU rRNA
Rfam family: Bacterial small subunit ribosomal RNA
Source: RNAcentral